CGAGCGGACAGAUGGGAGCUUGCUCCCUGAUGUUAGCGGCGGACGGGUGAGUAACACGUGGGUAACCUGCCUGUAAGACUGGGAUAACUCCGGGAAACCGGGGCUAAUACCGGAUGCUUGUUUGAACCGCAUGGUUCAAACAUAAAAGGUGGCUUCGGCUACCACUUACAGAUGGACCCGCGGCGCAUUAGCUAGUUGGUGAGGUAACGGCUCACCAAGGCAACGAUGCGUAGCCGACCUGAGAGGGUGAUCGGCCACACUGGGACUGAGACACGGCCCAGACUCCUACGGGAGGCAGCAGUAGGGAAUCUUCCGCAAUGGACGAAAGUCUGACGGAGCAACGCCGCGUGAGUGAUGAAGGUUUUCGGAUCGUAAAGCUCUGUUGUUAGGGAAGAACAAGUACCGUUCGAAUAGGGCGGUACCUUGACGGUACCUAACCAGAAAGCCACGGCUAACUACGUGCCAGCAGCCGCGGUAAUACGUAGGUGGCAAGCGUUGUCCGGAAUUAUUGGGCGUAAAGGGCUCGCAGGCGGUUCCUUAAGUCUGAUGUGAAAGCCCCCGGCUCAACCGGGGAGGGUCAUUGGAAACUGGGGAACUUGAGUGCAGAAGAGGAGAGUGGAAUUCCACGUGUAGCGGUGAAAUGCGUAGAGAUGUGGAGGAACACCAGUGGCGAA
Molecule: ribosomal RNA, 674 nt
Filed under: Bacillus sp. FJAT-4441
Lineage: Bacteria; Bacillati; Bacillota; Bacilli; Caryophanales; Bacillaceae
Description: bacterial SSU rRNA
Rfam family: Bacterial small subunit ribosomal RNA
Source: RNAcentral